UACGGGGGGGGGCAAGCGUUGUUCGGACUUACUGGGCGUAAAGGGCUCGUAGGUGGCCAACUAAGUCAGACGUGAAAUCCCCAGGCUCAACUUGGGAACUGCGUCUGAUACUGGAUGGCUUGAAUUCGGGAGAGGGAUGCAGAAUUCCAGGUGUAGCGGUGAAAUGCGUAGAUAUCUGGAGGAAUACCGGUGGCGAAGGCGGCAUCCUGGACCGAGAUUGACACUGAUGAGCGAAAGCUAGGGGAGCAAACGGG
RNAcentral lists this ribosomal RNA (254 nucleotides) under uncultured bacterium. RNAcentral describes it as "partial 16S ribosomal RNA". It matches the Rfam family "Bacterial small subunit ribosomal RNA", at positions 524 to 776 of the family's 1533-position model. The record is from RNAcentral.